AGUGAACGCUGGCGGUAUGCCUAACACAUGCAAGUCGAACGGCAGCACAGUAAGAGCUUGCUCUUACGGGUGGCGAGUGGCGGACGGGUGAGGAAUACAUCGGAAUCUACUUUUUCGUGGGGGAUAACGUAGGGAAACUUACGCUAAUACCGCAUACGACCUACGGGUGAAAGCAGGGGAUCUUCGGACCUUGCGCGAUUGAAUGAGCCGAUGUCGGAUUAGCUAGUUGGCGGGGUAAAGGCCCACCAAGGCGACGAUACGUAGCUGGUCUGAGAGGCUGAUCAGCCACACUGGAACUGAGACACGGUCCAGACUCCUACGGGUGGCAGCAGUUGGGAAUAUUAGACAAUGGGCGCAAGCCUGAUCCAGCAAUACCGCGUGGGUGAAGAAGGCCUUCGGGUUGUAAAGCCCUUUUGUUGGGAAAGAAAAGCAGCAGGUUAAUACCCCGAUGUUCUGACGGUACCCAAAGAAUAAGCACCGGCUAACUUCGUG
RNAcentral lists this ribosomal RNA (492 nucleotides) under uncultured bacterium. Its description in RNAcentral is "partial 16S ribosomal RNA". It matches the Rfam family "Bacterial small subunit ribosomal RNA", at positions 29 to 507 of the family's 1533-position model. The record is from RNAcentral.